UUCAGACUGCAGGCUGCAACUCGCCUGCACGAAGUCGGAAUUGCUAGUAAUCGUAGGUCAGCAUACUACGGUGAAUACGUUCCCGGGCCUUGUACACACCGCCCGUCAAACCAUGAGAGUUGGCAACACCCGAAGUCGGUAGUCUAACCGCAAGGAGGACGCCGCCGAAGGUGGGGUUGAUGAUUAGGGUUAAGUCGUAACAAGGUAGC
RNAcentral lists this ribosomal RNA (209 nucleotides) under uncultured bacterium. Its description in RNAcentral is "partial 16S ribosomal RNA". It matches the Rfam family "Bacterial small subunit ribosomal RNA", at positions 1292 to 1500 of the family's 1533-position model. The record is from RNAcentral.